This 491-nucleotide ribosomal RNA is filed under the name uncultured bacterium. Its description in RNAcentral is "partial 16S ribosomal RNA". It matches the Rfam family "Bacterial small subunit ribosomal RNA", at positions 29 to 506 of the family's 1533-position model. The record is from RNAcentral.
AGUGAACGCUGGCGGUAGGCCUAACACAUGCAAGUCGAGCGGCAGCACAGUAAGAGCUUGCUCUUACGGGUGGCGAGUGGCGGACGGGUGAGGAAUACAUCGGAAUCUACUUUUUCGUGGGGGAUAACGUAGGGAAACUUACGCUAAUACCGCAUACAACCUACGGGUGAAAGCAGGGGAUCUUCGGACCUUGCGCGAUUGAAUGAGCCGAUGUCGGAUUAGCUAGUUGGCGGGGUAAAGGCCCACCAAGGCGACGAUCCGUAGCUGGUCUGAGAGGAUGAUCAGCCACACUGGAACUGAGACACGGUCCAGACUCCUACGGGAGGCAGCAGUGGGGAAUAUUGGACAAUGGGCGCAAGCCUGAUCCAGCCAUACCGCGUGGGUGAAGAAGGCCUUCGGGUUGUAAAGCCCUUUUGUUGGGAAAGAAAAGCAGCAGGUUAAUACCCCGCUGUUCUGACGGUACCCAAAGAAUAAGCACCGGCUAACUUCGU